AUUGAACGCUGGCGGCAGGCUUAACACAUGCAAGUCGAGCGGGGUGAUGGUGCUUGCACUAUCACUUAGCGGCGGACGGGUGAGUAAUGCUUAGGAAUCUGCCUAUUAGUGGGGGACAACAUCUCGAAGGGGAUGCUAAUACCGCAUACGUCCUACGGGAGAAAGCAGGGGAUCACUUGUGACCUUGCGCUAAUAGAUGAGCCUAAGUCGGAUUAGCUAGUUGGUGGGGUAAAGGCCUACCAAGGCGACGAUCUGUAGCGGGUCUGAGAGGAUGAUCCGCCAUACUGGGACUGAGACACGGCCCAGACUCCUACGGGAGGCAGCAGUGGGGAAUAUUGGACAAUGGGGGGAACCCUGAUCCAGCCAUGCCGCGUGUGUGAAGAAGGCCUUAUGGUUGUAAAGCACUUUAAGCGAGGAGGAGGCUCUUUUGGUUAAUACCCAAGAUGAGUGGACGUUACUCGCAGAAUAAGCACCGGCUAACUCUGUGCCAGCAGCCGCAGUAA
RNAcentral lists this ribosomal RNA (503 nucleotides) under uncultured bacterium. RNAcentral's name for it is "partial 16S ribosomal RNA". It matches the Rfam family "Bacterial small subunit ribosomal RNA", at positions 30 to 523 of the family's 1533-position model. The record is from RNAcentral.